CGGCGCGCAGGUCGGCGCGGAGGCGCGUGCGGCCGCGCCUGCUCGCUGCGGUGCGGAGGAGGCCGGCGCUCUCCAGGGUCGGCGCCGGGCUCGGGGCGGGCUGAGGGGCGGGCUGAGCGGCCCCGCCUCCCGCGUGCUGCACCGAGCGCCGCGGCCCCGCCGCGCCUUUAAACCGCGGGGCCGGCCGCGCUCGCGGGCACUCGGCGGCGGGCGGCGAGCGGCGAGCGUGCCGCGGCUGUGUAGUGGCGCUGUGACUCUUUCUCUCUCUAUCACUCUCCCCCGGCUCCUUAGCGGGAGCGCCGGCCAGGGACCCGAGCCGCGCCGUACGCAGCGUCCACCCGCCUGCUCCGCAGGUCCCCGAGCGUCGGGCGGCGAUGGAGCCCGGGCCCGCGGCGCCCUCGUCUGGCGCCCCGCGGCCCGCCCGGGAUGGGGACGCGCCGCUGGCUGCCGCCGCCGGGGUGGACCUGCCCGGCACGGCCGUGCCCUCCGGCCAAGAGGAUGCUACUACGGCUGGGAGGCAGGCUGGCGGCGGGGUGCGCGGAGAGGGAACCCCAGCGGCGGGCGAUGGGCUGGGCAGACCUCUGGGGCCCACCCCCAGCCAGAGCCGCUUCCAGGUGGACCCGGUUUCCGAGAACGCCGGGCGGGCCGCGGCGGCUGCGGCGGCGGCGGCGGCGGCUGCGGCUGCGGCCGGGGCGGCGGGCAAGGAGACCCCCGCGGCCGGGAAAGCCGGCGGUGAGAGCGGCGUGGCCAAGGGCAGCGAGGAAGCCAAGGGCCGCUUCCGCGUGAACUUCGUGGACCCGGCUGCCUCGUCGUCGGCGGACGACAGCCUGUCGGAUGCGGCGGGGGUCGGUGGCGACGGGCCCAACGUGAGCUUCCAGAACGGCGGGGACACGGUGCUGAGCGAGGGCAGCAGCCUGCACUCGGGGGGUGGCAGUGGACACCACCAGCAGUACUACUAUGACACCCACACCAACACCUACUACCUGCGCACCUUCGGCCACAACACCAUGGACGCGGUGCCCAGGAUCGACCACUACCGGCACACGGCCGCGCAGCUGGGCGAGAAGCUGCUCCGGCCCAGCCUGGCAGAGCUCCACGAUGAGCUGGAAAAGGAACCUUUUGAGGAUGGCUUUGCGAAUGGAGAAGAAAGUACUCCAACCAGAGAUGCUGUGGUCGCAUACACUGCCGAGAGUAAAGGAGUUGUAAAGUUUGGCUGGAUCAAGGGUGUAUUAGUCCGCUGCAUGUUAAACAUUUGGGGUGUGAUGCUCUUUAUUAGAUUGUCAUGGAUCGUGGGUCAAGCUGGGAUAGGUCUCUCUGUCGUCGUAAUAGCAAUGGCCACUGUUGUGACAACUAUCACAGGAUUGUCUACUUCAGCAAUAGCUACCAAUGGGUUCGUGAGAGGAGGAGGAGCGUACUAUUUAAUCUCUAGAAGUCUAGGGCCGGAAUUUGGUGGUGCAAUUGGCUUGAUCUUUGCUUUUGCCAAUGCGGUGGCCGUUGCUAUGUAUGUUGUCGGAUUCGCAGAGACUGUGGUGGAGCUGCUUAAGGAACAUUCCAUACUUAUGAUAGAUGAAAUCAAUGAUAUCCGAAUUAUUGGAGCCAUUACAGUCGUGAUUCUUCUGGGCAUCUCAGUGGCUGGAAUGGAGUGGGAAGCAAAGGCUCAGAUUGUGCUGCUGGUGAUCCUUCUCCUGGCCAUCGCCGACUUCGUCAUAGGGACGUUUAUCUCACUGGAGAGCAAGAAGCCCAAGGGUUUCUUUGGCUAUAAAUCUGAAAUAUUUAAUGAGAACUUUGGGCCGGAUUUUCGAGAAGAAGAGACUUUCUUCUCUGUAUUUGCCAUCUUUUUUCCUGCUGCAACUGGUAUUCUAGCUGGAGCAAAUAUCUCAGGUGAUCUUGCAGAUCCUCAGUCAGCCAUACCCAAAGGAACACUCUUAGCCAUUUUGAUUACUACAGUGGUUUACAUAGGAAUUGCAGUGUCUGUGGGUUCGUGUGUUGUUCGGGAUGCCACUGGCAAUGUUAAUGAUACCAUUACAACAGAGCUGACAAACUGUACUUCUGCAGCCUGCAAACUAAACUUUGACUUCUCUUAUUGUGAGAGCAAUACUUGUUCUUACGGGCUAAUGAACAACUUUCAGGUGAUGAGCAUGGUGUCAGGAUUUGCACCCUUGAUCUCUGCAGGGAUCUUUUCAGCCACGCUCUCGUCAGCACUAGCAUCUCUUGUGAGUGCUCCCAAAAUAUUUCAGGCUCUAUGUAAGGACAAUAUCUACCCAGCUUUCCAGAUGUUUGCUAAAGGUUAUGGGAAAAAUAAUGAACCGCUUCGUGGUUACAUCUUAACAUUUCUGAUUGCACUGGGAUUCAUCCUGAUUGCUGAAUUGAACGUUAUUGCUCCAAUUAUCUCUAAUUUCUUCCUUGCAUCGUAUGCCUUAAUCAACUUUUCAGUAUUCCAUGCAUCACUUGCAAAAUCUCCAGGAUGGCGUCCUGCAUUCAAAUACUACAACAUGUGGAUCUCCCUUAUUGGAGCAAUUCUUUGUUGCAUAGUGAUGUUUGUCAUUAACUGGUGGGCUGCGUUGCUCACAUAUGUGAUAGUCCUUGGGCUGUACAUUUAUGUUACUUACAAAAAACCAGAUGUGAACUGGGGAUCCUCCACACAAGCGCUGACUUACCUCAGUGCACUGCAGCAUUCAAUCCGUCUUUCUGGGGUGGAGGACCAUGUGAAAAACUUCAGACCACAGUGCCUUGUAAUGACAGGUUCUCCAAACUCACGGCCUGCUUUACUUCAUCUUGUUCAUGACUUCACGAAAAAUGUUGGUUUAAUGAUCUGUGGCCAUGUGCAUAUGGGCCCCAGAAGACAAGCUAUGAAAGAGAUGUCCAUUGAUCAAGCCAGAUAUCAGCGAUGGCUCAUUAAAAACAAAAUGAAGGCUUUCUAUGCUCCGGUUCACGCAGAUGACUUGCGAGAAGGUGCACAAUACUUGAUGCAGGCUGCUGGACUUGGUCGUAUGAAGCCAAACACACUUGUCCUGGGAUUUAAGAAAGAUUGGUUACAAGCCGAUAUGAGGGAUGUGGAUAUGUAUAUAAACUUAUUUCAUGAUGCUUUUGACAUACAAUUUGGAGUUGUGGUUAUCCGCCUGAAGGAAGGACUGGAUAUAUCACACCUCCAAGGUCAGGAAGAAUUAUUAUCUUCACAAGAAAAAUCACCUGGUACCAAGGAUGUGGUAGUAAAUGUGGAUUACAGUAAAAAGUCAGAUCAAGAUACUUGCAAAUCAUCUGGUGAAAAAUCCAUUACACAGAAAGAUGAGGAAGAGGAUGGCAAGACUCCAACUCAGCCACUGUUGAAAAAAGUCAUGCUGCGUUUGGGAGAUACAGUCAUGUCAGCGUACAUGAAUUUUAUGAGAAGGAGAGAGAGAAUCCAAAGGCCCUAUUGUGCCUUUAAAUGUAGCUGACCAAAAGCUUCUUGAAGCUAGCACACAGUUUCAGAAAAAACAAGGGAAGAAUACUAUAGAUGUCUGGUGGCUUUUUGAUGAUGGAGGUUUGACAUUGUUGAUACCCUAUCUUCUGACUACCAAGAAAAAGUGGAAAGAUUGUAAGAUCCGAGUAUUCAUUGGUGGAAAAAUAAACAGAAUAGACCAUGACCGGAGAGCGAUGGCUACUUUAUUGAGUAAAUUCCGGAUAGACUUCUCUGAUAUCAUGGUCCUUGGAGAUAUCAACACCAAGCCAAAAAAAGAAAAUAUUAUUGCUUUUGAUGACAUGAUCGAGCCGUACAGACUUCACGAAGAUGAUAAAGAACAGGACAUUGCAGAUAAGAUGAAAGAAGAUGAGCCUUGGCGAAUCACAGAUAAUGAGCUUGAGCUUUAUAAGACUAAGACAUAUCGACAGAUCAGGUUAAAUGAAUUAUUAAAGGAGCAUUCAAGCACAGCUAACAUUAUUGUCAUGAGUCUUCCAGUCGCACGGAAAGGCGCUGUGUCCAGUGCUCUGUAUAUGGCUUGGUUAGAAGCUCUCUCGAAGGACCUGCCACCAGUCCUCCUGGUUCGUGGGAAUCAUCAGAGCGUCCUUACCUUCUACUCAUAACUGUUCUGCACCAUGGACUUCCUCUAAGGAUGGCACUUCAGUGCCCAGUCAAAGUGACUGUAUCGUCAGGAACACCACAGCAUCGCAGUGGCAGACGGGGACUGCUUCACUACUUCAUUAUUGGAAAGCACAUGGAAAGUUGCCCCAUUGAUAGAUAGAUGGAGACUUCAGUUGUAGUCUACUCCAGAUCUCAAUCUUAAUGACUGCUAAUUCUUUCUUGUUGGACUGAAGUUCAUGAGAGUAAAAUUUUCCUUUGCUACUUGAAAGCAAUAAGAGUGAGUUAUUUUUUGAUUGCUGAAAGGAGUGCAAAGCCUUUAGCCUUGAGGUGCCUUCUGAAAUAACCAAAUUUCAUCCAGAGACCUGUCGUCUUUUGUAAAUUUCUAGAAUGUUAAACUCUGCCUUCAGAUGUUAUUCUUGUUUUUAAUCUCUGUUAUCCUAAGUGGACACUGCUUUUCUCCUCCCACCGACCAGUUAGUGUUGAGAACUGUGUGUUUUGUAUUACUUUUGUAAAAGUAUCUGUUAGAUACUGAAGAGGAUUAGGACAAGCUAAUAAAAUAUGUGGGGAAAGUAUCCAAAAAAUGGAGCCCAAGGUUAGGUUUAUAUGAAUAUAUAUAUAUACAUAUAUAGAGGGAGAGCUAGGAAAAAGAGGCCCAGACCAACUUUCGGUUAGAAUUAUGAAUUAUUUCUUUUAAAUCAUAGAGAUGACUGAUGAUCUACCCAGUAAUUCUUGUAUAAUGCUUUUAAAAAAGAAUCAUGUUUUUUUUUUAAACAAAACCGUGAGAUCAUUUGUAUUAUUUUUAAAAGAUCUCUUGAUUUAGAAUUUUCUCUCAAAUGUGAGGGACUUUUAUGACAUGCUAACAUAUUUUUUUUAGAGGAAAUUUAGACAAAGCAGUGCCAUUUAAUAGAACAUUUCAAUAAACACUAUGGGGAUUUCACUGUCCUAUGCCAUCCUUUAUUUAAAAAAAAAAGAUUAAAAUUUUACCAAUGGUUAAAAGGAGCACUGUUUCCUUAGUGAAAUGGUUUUAGGCUUCAUUUAUUCAAGUAUCAAGUACAGUUAGUUUUAAUACACUCAGGAUUGAACAGAUUGUUCUGAACAUUGAAACUUAAUCCAUUCUUAAUACUUUAAAACUUGUGUUAAAGAAAACUGCCAGUUUGUGCGUUUGACCUUGUCUGCUAAUGCACUCGACAGCGUGCAUGUGCACAUGUGCUGCCUGAAAGCUUUAUAUGCAGACAGACAGCGCGCAUGUGCACACGUGCUAUCCUGAAAGCUUUAUAUACAGUUGUCAGUGUGAUGUUUCUCAGCUUCAAGGAAGGAUUUUCUAAAAACAUUUCAAGGGAUUCAUAUCUACAUGUCUGUAUGUGUGUAUGUUAUACAUACACAGGUGCAUAUGUGUAUAUGUAAUGAAAUUUAUGUUGCCAGUGUUUCAGAUUUUAAAGUGAUCACGAUUUGGUAGAUUACAGAUAUUUUUUUGUUGUUGUUUUAGUUUUUUCUUUUUCUUUUUUUAAGUAAACAGUCAAGUCAGGUCAAGCAAGACGUUAAAGAUUUCACGGAGGACAGAGACAAUUUGAAGACCAUAGUGUGACUUCAUACAGUUAUCCAGUUAGGUAAAGGGCUAACAAGUGGAUGAUCUCUAAGUUUCGGUGGAGAACGGUCCCAGAUUUUUGUCAUCUUAAGGGAAAUGUCAGAAAAGCGUUCUCAGUUGUGGGGUACUUGUGCUGCGCGGAUGCAGACUGGGUCAGUACCAGCCGGAUAUCUACUCAUUUCCAUUCAGAAUAUUAAGAAAACAGGUUAAAUGAUUUUUAAAAAAAGUUUUAUUUACAUUAUAAUACAAUAUUUUCCAUUUGUUGUAAAUUUUGCAGAGUUUAGGGCAGUAUAAAAGAGUCCCACCAGGAAACCAUACCAUGCGUGAAUUUGCUGAAUGGAAGCUAGGGCGUGGGCCGAGCGCUGCUAUCUUGAAAUGUGCACAGGUAGACUUGCCUGCCUUUUACUUUUAAAGCUUCCCCCCCCCCCCAUUCAGGAAACUUCACUGUGACCUGUAUGACAGAAACUAAUAUCAUACAUGUUACACGUGUGUUUAAAGGACACACAGUGAAUCUCGAUGCACCUAACAGGGAGGGAGGGUGAUACUGUUUGUGAUGUGAUGUUAGCAGCAGGUUUCCACCUUUAAAAACUACCAUUACGGUGGCUAACACUGGCUGCCUGGUCAAACAGUCUCAAGGUUGCAGUCGUACUCUAUAAAGUGAAAAUUCUCAACCAUUAGUUCUUAGAGAUGCUAGCUAGCAUUAAAGCUAUUUUUAUUUUAUGCCGACUUUUGAUUAUUUUGAUGCCAAAUUAUUUUUUAGUCCUAAUCGUUGAUAAUAACUUAAAAAUAAUUAUGCAGUGGCCUUUGAGCUCAUUAUUAUGAUAGGUAAAACAUCCGGUGGGUUCAAAGGGGACAUUGGUGUUGAUUAUUAACAGGUAACUAAAUCAGAUAUUUAUUUGUUGCGUCUUUCUCUUUGUGCUUUUAAGUUUUCCUCUCUACUUUUUUUCAUAUUGCUUUCUGACGUGUGUAUGUGUGUGUGUGUGUAUUUUUUUUAAGACUAUGGAAAUAAUUUAAAGAGUUGAGCUCUGGUGAUUAUCUGCUAAGUUUGAAAUGUAAUAUUUUGAUAAUACUGUACUGUUCCUGUGACAGACGCCUUUGUAAUGUUUUAACCCUGAGCAUUGCGGUUGCUGCUUUGUACAGAAGUUACUGCAAUAAAGGAAGUGGAGUCAUCACAAGUUUAAUACUUA
RNA transcript from Mus musculus (house mouse), 6829 nucleotides. It is a transcript of the gene named solute carrier family 12, member 2, with no coding region annotated. The record is from RefSeq and is marked validated. The transcript is spliced from 28 exons. Lineage: Eukaryota; Metazoa; Chordata; Mammalia; Rodentia; Muridae.